RNAcentral lists this ribosomal RNA (253 nucleotides) under uncultured bacterium. RNAcentral's name for it is "partial 16S ribosomal RNA". It matches the Rfam family "Bacterial small subunit ribosomal RNA", at positions 524 to 776 of the family's 1533-position model. The record is from RNAcentral.
UACGAAGGGGGCUAGCGUUGCUCGGAAUCACUGGGCGUAAAGGGUGCGUAGGCGGGUCUUUAAGUCAGGGGGGAAAUCCUGGAGCUCAACUCCAGAACUGCCUUUGAUACUGAAGAUCUUGAGUUCGGGAGAGGUGAGUGGAACUGCGAGUGUAGAGGUGAAAUUCGUAGAUAUUCGGAAGAACACCAGUGGCGAAGGCGGCUCACUGGACUGGUAUUGACGCUGAGGUGCGAAAGCGUGGGGAGCAAACAGG